Molecule: transfer RNA, 72 nt
Filed under: Lactobacillus delbrueckii subsp. bulgaricus
Lineage: Bacteria; Bacillati; Bacillota; Bacilli; Lactobacillales; Lactobacillaceae
Also listed under: 2 other names
Description: tRNA-Gly
Rfam family: tRNA
About the family: Transfer RNA (tRNA) molecules are approximately 80 nucleotides in length. Their secondary structure includes four short double-helical elements and three loops (D, anti-codon, and T loops).
Source: RNAcentral
GCGGAAGUAGUUCAGUGGUAGAACAUCACCUUGCCAUGGUGGGGGGCGCGGGUUCGAAUCCCGUCUUCCGCU